CUGGAGGUAAACAGAUUUCUUGAAGUUAAACAGAUUCUGAUCUGAGUCUCCAAAAUGAAAAGAGAUAACAGGUCAUGUAUUCAAGUAUAAGUAAAUUUGAGUAAACUGAAGACCCACUUAUCUAUCUAACAGAA
This 134-nucleotide small nucleolar RNA is filed under the name Sorex araneus (European shrew). RNAcentral describes it as "Small Cajal body specific RNA 15 (ENSSARG00000019453.1)". Lineage: Eukaryota; Metazoa; Chordata; Mammalia; Eulipotyphla; Soricidae. The record is from RNAcentral.